This 253-nucleotide ribosomal RNA is filed under the name uncultured bacterium. Its description in RNAcentral is "partial 16S ribosomal RNA". It matches the Rfam family "Bacterial small subunit ribosomal RNA", at positions 524 to 776 of the family's 1533-position model. The record is from RNAcentral.
UACGAAGGGUGCAAGCGUUAAUCGGAAUUACUGGGCGUAAAGCGUGCGUAGGCGGUUUUUUAAGUCUGCUGUGAAAGCCCUGGGCUCAACCUGGGAAUGGCGGUGGAUACUGAGAAGCUGGAGUACGGUAGAGGAAGGUGGAAUUCCCGGUGUAGCGGUGAAAUGCGUAGAGAUCGGGAGGAACAUCAGUGGCGAAGGCGGCCUUCUGGACCAGUACUGACGCUGAGGCACGAAAGCGUGGGGAGCAAACAGG